RNAcentral lists this ribosomal RNA (253 nucleotides) under uncultured bacterium. RNAcentral describes it as "partial 16S ribosomal RNA". It matches the Rfam family "Bacterial small subunit ribosomal RNA", at positions 524 to 776 of the family's 1533-position model. The record is from RNAcentral.
GACGAACCGUGCGAACGUUGUUCGGAUUCACUGGGCUUAAAGGGCGCGUAGGCGGGUCAUCAAGUCCGGGGUGAAAUCUUUCGGCUUAACCGGAAAAUAGCCUUGGAUACUGGUGGUCUGGAGGGAGGUAGGGGCAUGCGGAACUUCCGGUGGAGCGGUGAAAUGCGUAGAUAUCGGAAGGAACGCCGGUGGCGAAAGCGGCGUGCUGGACCUCUUCUGACGCUGAGGCGCGAAAGCCAGGGGAGCAAACGGG